Molecule: ribosomal RNA, 253 nt
Filed under: uncultured bacterium
Lineage: Bacteria
Description: partial 16S ribosomal RNA
Rfam family: Bacterial small subunit ribosomal RNA
Source: RNAcentral
UACGUAGGGGGCAAGCGUUAUCCGGAUUUACUGGGUGUAAAGGGAGCGUAGACGGCAGAGCAGGUCUGAAGUGAAAGCCCGCGGCCCAACUGCGGGACUGCUUUGGAAACUGCCCGGCUAGAGUGCUGGAGAGGUAAGCGGAAUUCCUAGUGUAGCGGUGAAAUGCGUAGAUAUUAGGAGGAACACCAGUGGCGAAGGCGGCUUACUGGACAGUAACUGACGUUGAGGCUCGAAAGCGUGGGGAGCAAACAGG